UGGUGGGUAGUUUGACUGGGGCGGUCUCCUCCUAAAGAGUAACGGAGGAGCACGAAGGUUAGCUAAUCCUGGUCGGACAUCAGGAGGUUAGUGCAAAGGCAUAAGCUAGCUUGACUGCGAGAGUGACGGCUCGAGCAGGUGCGAAAGCAGGUCUUAGUGAUCCGGUGGUUCUGAAUGGAAGGGCCAUCGCUCAACGGAUAAAAGGUACUCCGGGGAUAACAGGCUGAUACCGCCCAAGAGUUCAUAUCGACGGCGGUGUUUGGCACCUCGAUGUCGGCUCAUCACAUCCUGGGGCUGAAGUAGGUCCCAAGGGUAUGGCUGUUCGCCAUUUAAAGUGGUACGCGAGCUGGGUUUAGAACGUCGUGAGACAGUUCGGUCCCUAUCUGCCGUGGGCGCUGGAGAAUUGAGGGGGGCUGCUCCUAGUACGAGAGGACCGGAGUGGACGCAUCACUGGUGUUCGGGUUGUCAUGCCAAUGGCAUUGCCCGGUAGCUAAAUGCGGAAGAGAUAAGUGCUGAAAGCAUCUAAGCACGAAACUUGCCCCGAGAUGAGUUCUCCCUGAGACUUUAAGUCUCCUGAAGGAACGUUAAAGA
RNAcentral lists this ribosomal RNA (591 nucleotides) under Citrobacter freundii. RNAcentral's name for it is "partial 23S ribosomal RNA". It matches the Rfam family "Bacterial large subunit ribosomal RNA", at positions 2259 to 2844 of the family's 2925-position model. The record is from RNAcentral. Lineage: Bacteria; Pseudomonadati; Pseudomonadota; Gammaproteobacteria; Enterobacterales; Enterobacteriaceae.